CAUCGCAGCGCGGAGGUCAGGGGCAGACCCGCCAGUGGCCUAGCCAGUACCCAUCCCUUCUGCUCCCUCCUUGCUGGCAGAGCCAAGUGGGAGCAUCUGCUCUAAGGGGCGGUGUGGGUCCCUCUCUGGCCCAAAGAGUAAAGAGAGCUUUGUUCAAGUCCACCGCCAGUGGUGGGCCAGAAGGGGCCCCGUGAUACAGUUCUGGCCAGAACGCAGAGGCUCUGUGGGCGCUUCUGGGAAUGGAUCCCUUGCUCGUAAAAAACUGUGCGGAGAAGGGACUUCUUGCUUCCUGCGUCUGGACACGGCCCAGAGUGUUCUGAGACCCCAAGAACUAUACAGGACACCUCUCGCCGCUUGGAGCUGUAGCAGCCAUCUUGCAAGCAUGGAGGGACCUGCCUGAGGACCAGGUCCAGUCAUGUUGUCUCAAAUGGCAAGGUUUCCCGUUUUUUUGGCUGCGUUGUGAGGCAUGCAGGAUCUUAGCUCCCGUACCAGGGAUCGAACCUUCACCCCUGAAGUGGAAGUGCGGAGUCUUAACCACUGGACUUCCAGUGCUGGACCAAGACGUGCCCUGCCCAGCAGUGAUUUCGAGCACUCCUCUCCCAGGUGACUGUGGUUGACCCUGGUCCAUCAUCAGAUCAGUCCUAUGGAUGUGAAAGGAAAUGAACAAGAAGGUCCUUUGCCCUAACUGCUUGCCCUGUUUGCAGACCUGUUGUAUCCCUGAGAACCAAGCAGACAUAUAAACGGGAAAGCUGUGUCUUUGAGAAAAUCAGCAGAAAUGAUGGAGCUAGAGCC
Long non-coding RNA from Globicephala melas (long-finned pilot whale), 792 nucleotides. RefSeq lists it as uncharacterized. The record is from RefSeq and is a predicted model, not a curated record. Lineage: Eukaryota; Metazoa; Chordata; Mammalia; Artiodactyla; Delphinidae.